This 74-nucleotide non-coding RNA is filed under the name unclassified sequences. The record is from RNAcentral.
GCCCCUCACGGGUAGCUGCCUUCACGCGGCGAGGGGCGUCAGUACCAAUUCUAAUUGGGAAGCCAGACGCUACC